Molecule: long non-coding RNA, 40770 nt
Filed under: Triticum aestivum (bread wheat)
Lineage: Eukaryota; Viridiplantae; Streptophyta; Magnoliopsida; Poales; Poaceae
Description: long non-coding RNA (TAES_LNC012313)
Rfam family: MIR1120/MIR1122 microRNA precursor family (bases 6147-6233)
Source: RNAcentral
UUUUGGAAAAACAAAAUGGCACACCUGGUGGGACCUGAUUCUCCUCCCAUCUUUGCUGCACUCCAAUGGUCGUCAAAUUUUCCAAUUAUUUGUUUGCUUGUCCAAAUCACCACAAGAGGAUGUUGUAAAAAAAUAGCACGCAUCUAGUGCGUGAAAAUAUAUAUGCACAUGUACAUCCGUGCGUUCAAGCUGAAAAUGCACGGAGCACACAUGGUGCCUCUGUUCCAAAUUAUUUUGCACAGGAAGAUUGUCCCUGUUUAAAAAGAAAUAGGCAGCACUGGUUGAGGUUGUGUAUCAACCAGAGUAGUGGACCACAUGUACUGAUUGGAUAAUCUAUAUAGACCAUCGUAAUCCUCAUCAAUCACUGUCAAAGAUCAUAUCAUCAUCUAGGCAAUUUUGUUAAAUAUACAACAUUGUUUGCAGCAGUAUAUUAGGAGAAGCAGAACUUCGUCAUCCUUGAUGUAUCAUCAAUCACUGUCAAAGAUAUCGUCAUCUCAGCAAAAAAAUUAAAUAUACAACAUUGUUUCCUGCAGUAUAUUAGGAAAAGCAGAACUUCGUAAUCCUUGAUGUAUCAUCAAUCACUGUCAAAGAUCAUAUCAUCAUCUAGGCAAUUUUGUUAAAUAUAGAACAUUGUUUGCUGCAGUAUAUUAGCAGAAGCAGAACUUAUUGCAAGGAACAUGUUGAUAGCACCAUAUCAAAUUGUAUUCAGUUUGCUGCAUACCAUAGUGAUGUGGAUACUUAUGAAAUAUGUGUAGCUAGAAAUUAGAAACUCUGUGAACCUAAACUGUUGUGGCACAAGUGACUAUUAUAUGGAUGGUUCUGGUUUUAUUAAGAUAGGAAGAUGGAAUAUGUUUUCUUCCAAACAUACAUGAACACCAUGGCCAUGAUAGAAACAGAACAUUCAUGCUGUAGAAACGGCAAUAGAAAUCCCACCUCCAAUAGGAAAAUUAACUCUGAAAUUACUACUUGAAAUGAGCCAUGGGUGGCAGCUGUAGGAUUCCAACUUACAGGUAGCCUCAUGAUAUUUACCUGGGGCUGGGAAAAGGCCUACUGGUACCAACAAUAUUAUUCAACAUGCAAAGAAAACAGCUAGGUACACUAAACUAUGAAUGGAGAUAACACAUUAAAUUGUUCAUACCCCAAAAAACCAUUAACUCGCAGGUCAUGGUGGGUCUUUCCUACUUCACCUGAACCCUGUCACGAGUUAUCCUCUCAACCUGCUAGAAAUACCACAACCUCUUUCAAGUUUCAUCAAUCCUACACAAUCCACCAUAAAGAUGUUCAUUAUAAGAAAUACAGCCUAUAUUUAUAAUAGAGAAUACUGAAGCAUUGCAUGUAUACUCAGCCGCUAACCUCUUAUGGCCAUUUUCUCAAACAUCUGAUGAGCCACUUAAUAAAAGAAAUCAAUCCUGAUGGUCACAAAAUCAUCACAUACAUGCAGCACACAGAAUGAUGUUUUCAAUCUUCUGCUGCUUCUUUUGUACUUACACAAGCCUAGGAACAAAAUCAACACAUUAGUAUGAUCUAUCCAACAUCAGUCAUUGGAGCAGAGACAACCAAAAUUGGCUAACAAGUUGUAAACUAACUUUGGAAAUCUCAUGCUGCAUAAACAUAUCAAGCAAUUCCUCUCCUCUUCACCACCCGUUUUUUUCCACUCAGAGAAAAAUUCACAUGUUUGUCAAGAAAUCAUAGUUAAAAAAACGCGCCUAGGCUCUAGGCGUUGGCAAAACGCAUUGCGCAUAACUACAUUUAAUCCGCGCAUAAUUGCGCAUAAGCAUGUGCUUUAGUCAAUAAAGCGCAAGCCGGUGGCAAAACGCACAAUUAACGUCUAGCGCUUUUUUGAACUAUGCAAGAAACCAAAAGGAACCUAACCCAAGGAAGAAAAUAGCUUGCAGCCACACAGGCAUUCUAUCGAGCAGGUCAAAAGCAUCGGAGAAAGAAAGAGGCUCACCUUGGAACAAACGCACAGGAGAAGACAAAGCAGCAAACCAGAAGAUGAAAACGAAAUAAGAAGAGGAGAGCAUGAAUGAGUAGAUAACGCAAGCAAUGGAGGCGCGAAAUCGAUCCGGUGGAAGAGCACGUAGAUCCUUACCCUAACCACACACAGAAAUGACCCUCUGGACAGGGUGGAUCACAUCCCUCUGGUUCGAUCCCGUGCAACGUCGUGUUCUUGCGCCGCCACUCCUGGCAGGGCCACAAGGCGUGAGGGGUGAGAGGCAACUAACGAAGUAGAUCGACACGGGAGGAGACGCACCCGAAAAAAGGGAUCGUGAGGUAGGAGGAGGCACAGAGUUCCUUACCUUGAUUCGGAUGUCGAAAUUGCCGAGGCGAACGCCGCCACCGCUGCCAUACGCGUCCAGGUCAUUGGCCGUGCUUGGCGGCACUCAGUGCUCCCUACACCGCGCCAUUCACUGGUGGUGGAGAGGAGAGGAGGCGGCCGCUCCCGAUGGUGGUUGCAAUGGCCCAUAUGCUACUUUCGUGGAUGCGGCCUAGCCGCUCAUCACUGUGGACGGGGGCAGGGGAGGAGGGAUGCGAGGCUGGAGGCAGAGGGGGGUUGAUGGAUAGGGUUGGCCAUAUACCUGGCCAAACGGGCCGGCCCGGCACGGCACGGCCCAGCCUGUGCUAAUCGUGCCUGGCCCAGCACGGCCCGCCAUGGAACGUUUAAUAGCCGGGCCGUGCCGGGCCGGUCCACGGGCGCUGCUCCUUGGCCCAGGCAUGGCCUGAUUAGUAAACGGGCCGGCCUGAUGGCCCGUUUAGCACGCUGGGCUGCACAUAUUCAGCCUGUUGGGCUGUUUUUUAGGCCUAUUGGUAUGUAUUUUAGAUAUAAAUAUAUAAAAAAAAUCUGAAAAUUAUAUAAAAAAAUUAAACGGGCCGUGCCGUGCCGGCCCGCGUGCCCAGGCUCCAGGCCCAGGCACGGCCCAAGGCGUGCCGCGUGCCGGGCACGGCCCGUUUAGCCCGUGCCGUGCCUGGCCCAUAGCGGGCCGUGCCGGCGUGCUCGCGGGCUGGCCUGUUUGGCCCGGCCCGUUUGGCCAGCUAUAGUUGGCCAAUCCGGCUGCGCGUUCCUACCCAUCGGUCUGCGAGGAUCAGCCAAUCCCACGUCGCCCACGCUCGGUACGGCCAAUAUUUUUUUCACCCGACGCGCAGACGAGGCACACAUAGCACACACACCACCAAACCGGACCCGCGAGAGAUGGAGGCCCACCCGUCAUUCACCUGAGUAGGAAAGAGCAACAUUGAAAGAAACAUAUGAUUGGAUUUUUGACAGUGCGAUGAAAAACAUCGAGCGAGGUAGAUCGAGCGAACCAGAAUAGCUAGCGCUGGCAUGUGCCGUGGUUAGGGCAUCUCCAACAGUUUGUACGUUAGUUUGUUGGUAAAAUAUGCCAUGUCAUCAACCAAAACCUUAAGAUACAACAACUACAAUGGUUGUAUCUUGUUUGCCCAAUAAGAUGUGAGAUAAUAAAUAAGGUGCUCUCUCAUUCUACAUUGGAGCUUGUGCAAGGGGUGUUGGUUCAUGUACAUACAACCUUCCUCUCUUCCCUCAUUUAUUGUAUGACACAUCAUCAAAAAUCCUAUAUGGCAAAGUCUACCAACAACUAUCUUACAACCAUUAGAGAUGCCCUUAGGCGGGUAGCCUAGCCAAGUUUAUAUGUUCGAUUACAAAGUCAGGAAUGCAUCCUGAUAUUUGCUCCCUUUAACCUCGUCUAACCAUGUAACCUUACACAAAAAUGCACAGUAAUUUUACAAUAGUAAUUUCUCUUUUUCUAGUGUAGUUCAUAACUUUACUGCAUACAAAACAACCGACUUAUAUAAGCACAAGACCAAUUCCGAGGGACAUAAACUUAUUUCACAAGCAUUUUAUUCUUACGGUGGAUGGAGGCUGGUUUAACCCACUGUGUGAGUUGGCUGGGUGAUAAAUAAGGCUUUGGAUUUAGAUUAAAAUGUUCAGAAUGGUACAAAACAUCCAAAAAGUAAGGAAAUUACAACUAUGUUCUCAGGGAGCCAAACAAAAGUCAAUCUCCAGAAUGAGCCAAAGGCGUGCCGCCAUUGCCUCUUCAUUGUCAAAGCUAUCCUAACCAUGUAUCCCGUGGUCAGGAAGUCGUCAUGCUUAGAUCACCUGCAAGUCAAAGCAAUAUGUCGGAGUUUGGCCCCUUAAUAAAAUAUGUCAAGGUCCGGAGAGUAUGUUCCUUUUUGCGAAUUAACUUAUGUAUUACUCAAAUUUUGGGGAUUACUAUCUUGUCCAUUUGUAAUUGAAGGAACACUUUCGAGCAACAAGAAAAAUUGCACAUGGAAGGAUUUGGCAGACAUGCUCGUUCGUGUUGAUAAACACCAAAAAAAAUCUAACUACGCCAUCUAACUUAUAUUUGGUAUUGUCUCUUGAAAAAUAUAUUUCUUGUUUAGGUACUCCUUCUGAUUCUCAUUUGAUAUUUAGCAUCUCUUAUACGACCCGUGUAAUGUGUUACUUAUAGGAGCAAGUAAUUUGAUCUAGUUACUAUGUCGAAUUUAUCGAAUCAUGCUCGGUUAUAUAUGGCUACGAGAAUAUGAUGGUGUUUUAGUUCUGUACUGCAUACACAAAUCGUGGGAUUAUAUACUCAAAUUGUGAUAUUUUAGUAAUUGAUAUAUUUUAUCUCAACUUAUGGUAAUGUAUAUAUCUAUAUAGAAAAUUCAUCCUUUUCAUCAUCUUCUUACGAGUUUUUGAUACAUGGAAUUCAUAUUAUAGUCGCCCAAAUGAUUUUCAAUGUAUUAGUUUAGUGAUGUGUAAUAUAUGAACAAAUAACAUACAGUCUCUAUCACUUUAGUCUAAUGUUUUUUCGGGCACACAUCAGUUCAAUAAGGCUUGUUUUUCAACUUAAUAACAUUAUAAAUGAAAUGAAAAUAGAAAAUAUGUUAAAAAAAUGAGCAUUUAGUAAAGUUUGUUGAAAUAAAACAAAACUAUAUAUUUACAAGUCGAUGUAUUUGUUUCUCAAACUAGUGUAGUUUCCUAAUUUUGGUGGCAAGUAUUGCAAAGUUGUUCUUUCGAUGUGGAUAUAGUGAAUAAUAUAUAUAUAAUUGGAAACCUCUGUUGUUGGUGGUUGGUGGAUAUUUAUUUAAUUCUAUUUAUCAAGUGAGAUAUUUUUUAAGAGAUGAUGAUGUGCUCCAGAUUUUUAUGGCCAGGAGACAUGCAAAUUUAAGAAAUGUUGAGUUUAAUGAUACAUACGAACUAUUCUGUAAGAUGAAAAUGCAGUUGAGUUAGUAUAACUGCCAAAACAUAUCUUUCUCUAAACUAUAUAAAGACUAUUGAAUUGUACAUUAAAAAAAUUGAAAUGUGGCCACACGCAAAAUGAAAUUCUUGAUCCACCAUUGUUCAAAAUUUGGCUAUUGCAUAGGUGCAUUGGGUAGUACAUUGUAAGGUUGGUCAUCUAGGGUAGAGGUGGAUAUGCUGGAUGACCAAAUAAUUUUGGUUGCUGCUAUAGCAGCUGGGUCCAAAGGUGGAGGAUCUGUGAUGACUUUUGGGCCAGCAUUAAUGGUUAGGACAUAGAAUUAUUCGAGUUCAUCGUAGGAAACAAAGCCAAAACCAGAUCUUGCUAACAUCAUUCCAUGUGAAUUCAAGAACAAAUUAAAGGCAUCCCCUUUUUGGGGCUCUCCAUACCCUAUCAGCAUUACCAAGUGACCCAUUUGUAUAGUAAUAUUUUUCAUCUUCAUCAUGCUUCACUGGGCACCUAUAGAUUUCAUCUUUGUUGAUGUCACAAAAUUGAACUAUUGUCACCAGAGUUGCUAGCACAAGCCAACAUCUAAAAACUCCUUAAUUUGUGCAACUGGAAGCUUCUUUUAAUGGUUGUAAUCUCUAUACAUGUUUAAAUCCAUCUUUCCUUCCACCAAGAUCUCCUUUUCUCUUUGAUAUGUGUCUUCUGUGUGUGGGUUCCAUGGAGUUUAACACACUCCACAUUGGUGCAGGAACCCCUUAUAGGAUUUUGCUACUAGCAACGUCUGGCUCAAGGCACAUGCAACAAGUGUUUUGCCAAAAUACUAGCAUCAUUUAGGAAAAAUGUAUGCACCGCUAGCGAAUAUCUACUAGCAUCGCAUACAAUAGGUAGACGCUGCCAUAAAGGUGAACAUGACACUCCCACUAGUCUGAAACUACUAGCUGAGUUUGAACGUUCAGAACGUAACUACUACCUCCGUCCCAUAAUAUAAGAAUGUUUUUGAUACUAGUGUAGUGUCAAAAACGUUUUUAUAUUAUGGGACGGAGGGAGUAGUUCAGAAGCUAGGAGUAUGCAAUGAUGUAUAAUGCGCAACUAAUGUAGAGUGUGGACCCCAUGAUCUAGCCUGGACGCGGCUAAAGAUGCACAUAGUGGUCGCGCAUCUUUUGUAACCGCGCUCCAUUAGUGCUAGCAUGUAUAUAUUGCUCGUUUAAAAUACAUGUACACUAAAAAAGUUGAAACAGAAAACCAUGCUUGAAAUCCUUAUAAAAUAUGCGCAACUUCAAACAAAUAAUAAUUAAUUGGCGUAUAGCACAUGUCUAUACCCCUAUAUAGUGUGCGAAUAACUUUGAAAGAUGGUCGUUGGAUGAAGCCAAUCCGACGGUGCAGAGAUGGCAAAUUCGAGCACUACUGGCCGUUGAAUAUCAUCUACAUUCCACCAGAUUUUGCCACAUGUACAAUCUAGAAGACUCCAUGGUUGAACUUAAGCAUAGUGCACAAACCUCAAAACACAAGCACUUCUCCUUUGUUCUAGAAUCUUCCAUAUCAUAAUUGCCCAAAAAAAUUUCUACAUGAAUUGCCAUUAUUUGUUUUUACUUUAUGCUUUACAACGCACAAUUUCAUGAAUCUUAAAAUAGAUUAGCUUUUUUUAUAAAAACUAAUUGAUUUUGAAUGAGAUGAACUAUAAGAAUUAAACAACAUCUACAUCAUGCAUAUAUGACUCAAAGUUUACAUGCUAUAAUGUGGUAUUUAUUCAUAAUUUGGUUGCCAAAUCUCAUGCGUGCAAUGCACGUGUACCUUACUAGUAUACAAAGUUUUGUAGUCACAUGGCUAAUGAUGAGCUUGCUAUACCAUAUUUCUCUCAAACCAGAUCGCACUUCUGCCCUUCGAAACUUCAAAUCUACCAUUGAUACCCCGCGCGGAUUUCUAAGGAACGUAUUUGAAAACUUUUGUGUAACACAUUGAAAUUAUAAACAUAGCUUCAAGUGUAAAUAUAAUGACAAUACCAACAUUCAUUUAUUUUUAGACCACAUUACAUUAUCUAAAAAAUACAAAAAAUGCCCUAGUGUUUGAUUUAUCCCAUAAUUUUUUAGGAAUUUCUCAAAAUUUUAAUAAAGAACACCUAAAUAUACAGUAAAAAAUAGUUUAAUAAAUUGGAACACAAAACACCCUGUCGGGGAUAUACCCCGCGGUAUGACCCGGCCGGAGAUAUGACCCGGCUGGGACUUGAUGUUUCAUUGAUGACCUGGCAGAUUAUAACCCGGCAGACACAGUCAUAUAACCCGGCAGACACAGUCAUCUAACCCAGCAGACACAGUCAUAUAACCCGACAGACACAGUCAUCUAACCCGGUAGACACAGUCAUGUAACCCGGCAGAUGUUUAGCCAGAUGGUAAGCCAGAUGGUAAGUCAGAUCGUAAGCCAGACCAUAAGCCAGAUGGUAAGCCAGAUAGUAAGUCAGAUCGUAAGCCAGACCGUAAGUCAGAUUGUAAGCCAGAUUGUAAGAAGCCCAAGACGUUAAGAAGCCCAUGGUAAGACGUCAAAAUAGGUUAAGUCUUAAGUCCAAGUUGGACUCUACAUGUAACCCGCCCCUUCAGCUUAUAUAAGGAGGGGCGGGGCACCCCAAGAGGAGAGGUUGAAUAAGGGCUAGGUUAGACAUAACUAGGAGAGCCGGCUUACGGCAACUCCUCUCAUGAGCAUAAUGAGACCUAGCCACAAACAGCAUGUAGGGUUCUUACCGGAUGAUGUUUCCCGGGGCCCGAAGCUGUCUAAACUCUUGUCUUGUGUUGCUCUCUCGAUUCCGCUCAACCCCUCUCAAGUUACCACAAAGAUGCGUUGGCCUCACGGUUAAGUCCUCACACUAGGACAUCUGCGCACGGUGGUAUUGAGUUCUUGGAGGGAUCUCUCCGAGGGAUCGAGAAGCUCGCAAAUUUUCUGGAGGAAGAUUAUCCGGCUUGAACGGAUCUACAUCAGCUUGAAGAUCACCAGUCUAAGUUUACAAUCUGUGAUAUCUAAAAGUGUAUUAGGGUUACACGGCGGAUUGCAAAUCGAGCCGCCGUGGGCGACUUAAGUUUCUUCUUUUACAAAGUUGCCAUGGCAAGAAAAAUCCUGAAGCACUGUAUGAGAUUCCAACUUGAGCCGGACUCGGACUCGCUGGUCGCGCCUCCGCCUUCGAGCCGCUACAGAUACACCCCGCUUCAACUAUGGCCAAGUCGCCGCCUUCGCCUCCAGCUCCGAGCUAUUGUUCAACCAUCGCGUCUCGCGGACCUGCCAGCCAGCGAGUCGCCUUCGUCAUUGCAUGUAAGAACCAAGCAGUUGCUGAAUUGACUCCUCUGCAUCGUCUUCUGAUACGUCUCCGUCGUAUCUACUUUUCCAAAUACUUUUGCCCUUGUUUUGGACUCUAACUAGUAUGAUUUGAAUGGAACUAACUCGGACUGACGCUGUUUUCAGCAGAAUUGCCAUGGUGUUGUUUUUUGUGCAGAAAAUAAAAGUUCUCGGAAUGACCUGAAACUCUACGGAACACCUUAGAAAAAACAAUAAAAAAUCCUCGCAAAAGAUGAAGACCAAGGGGCCCACACUCUGUCCACGAGGGUGGGGGGCGCCCUCCUACCUUGUGGGCCCCCUGGUGGCCCUCCGACGCCAACUCCAACUCCAUAUAUUGGCUUUCGGGGAGAAAAAAUCAGAGAGAAGAAAUCAUCACAUUUUACGAUACGGAGCCACCGCCGAGCCCUAAUCUCUCUCGGGAGGGCUGAUCUGGAGUCAGUUCGGGGCUCCGGAGAGGGUCAUUCAUCGCCGUCGUCAUCAUCAACCAUCCUCAAUCACCAAUUUCAUGAUGCUCACCGCCGUGCGUGAGUAAUUGCAUCGUAGGCUUGCUGGACGGUGAUGGGUUGGAUGAGAUUUAUCAUGUAAUCGAGUUAGUUUUGUUAGGGUUUGAUCCCUAGUAUCCAUUAUGUUCUGAGAUUGAUGUUGCUAUGACUUUGCUAUGCUUAAUGCUUGUCACUAGGGCCCGAGUGCCAUGAUUUCAGAUCUGAACCUAUUAUGUUUUCAUGAAUAUAUGUGUGUUCUUGAUCCUAUCUUGCAAGUCUAUAGUCACCUACUAUGUGUUAUGAUCCGGGAACCCCGAAGUGACAAUAAUCGGGACCACUCCCGGUGAUGACCAUAGUUUGAGGAGUUCAUGUAUUCACUAUGUGCUAAUGUUUUGUUCCGGUUCUCUAUUAAAAGGAGGCCUUAAUAUCCCUUAGUUUCCAAUAGGACCCCGCUGCCACGGGAGGGUGGGAGGGUAGGACAAAAGAUGUCAUGCAAGUUCUUUUCCAUAAGCACGUAUGACUAUAUACGGAAUACAUGCCUACAUAACAUUGAUGAACUGGAGCUAGUUCUGUGUCACCCUAUGUUAUGGCUGUUACAUGACGAACCGCGUCCCGCAUAAUUAUCCAUCGCUAAUCCAGUGCCUACGAGUUUUCCAUAUACUGGUUCUCGCUUAUUUACUUUUCUGUUGCUACUGUUACAAUCACUACAAAAUACCAAAAACAUUACUUUUGCUGUCUUUACUUUUGUUACCAUUACCACUACUAUCAUAUUACUUUGCUACUAAAAACUUUGCUACAGAUACUAAGUUUCCAGGUGUGGUUGAAUUGACAACUCAGCUGCUAAUACUUGAGAAUAUUCUUUGGCUCCCCUUGUGUUGAAUCAAUAAAUUUGGGUUGAAUACUCUACCCAACCGUUGCAAUCCCCUAUACUUGUGGGUUAUCAAGACCUUUUUCUGGCACCGUUGCCGGGGAGCAUAACUCUAUUCUUUGAGUCACUUGGGAUUUAUAUCUGUUGGACACUAUGAAGAACUUGAAAGAUGAUCGAACUACUAUUUUGCCCUCAACUACGAGGGGAGGUAAGGGACUAUCAUCUAGCCUUGCACUAGAUUCUCCUUCUGUUAUGAGUAAGUUUGCGACACCUAAACCUGUUACUGCUGUGAAUUUUGAUAUGUCGCAUGUUAUUGAUGAUGCCACUUCUGCUAUGCAUGAUACUUAUGAUGAAACUACUUCUAUGCUUGAUACUACUGUGCCCCUUGGUGAAUUUCUUGAUGAGCAAAUUGCUAGGUCUAGAGAAAGAGAAAUUAUUGAACCUGAACACGAUGAUGUUAGUGAUGAUGAAAAUAUGCCUGCUAUUCCUGAGGGUUAUCUUUUUUAUGCUGAAUCUUCUACAACUAUUCUUGCUUGCCAGGAUAGACAUGAACUUAAGAGGUUGCUAGUUAAAUGGAGUAAAGAAUCUUUUAGAGAUAGAAUGAAACCCGACCCUGCUUUUGCUACUUCACCUAUCUGUGUUCUCGAUAAUGAUUAUUAUGAUUUUUCUGUUGAUCCAGAUAUAAUUACUUUGGUUGAAUCUGAUCCUUUUUAUGGCUAUGAAUCUGAAACUGUUGUGGCACAUCUUACUAAGUUAAAUGAUAUAGCUGCCCUGUUUACUAAUAAUGAGAGAUUGCGCUACCUUUAUUUACUCAAAAUAUUCCCGUUCUCAUUAAAGGGUGAUGCUAAGAUAUGGUUUAAUUCUCUUGAUCCUGAUUGUGUGCAAAGUCCCCAGGAUAUGGUUUAUUACUUCUUUGCUAAAUAUUUCCCUGCUCAUAAGAAACAAGCUGCUUUGAGGGAAAUAUACAACUUUGUGCAAACUGAAGAAGAGAGUCUCCCACAAGCUUGGGGGAGGCUUCUCAAGUUACUUAAUGCUUUGCCUGAUCAUCCUCUUAAGAAACCUGAAAUAUUUGAUAUCUUUUAUAAUGGACUAACUGAUGCUUCCAGAGAUUACCUGGAUAGUUGUGCUGGUUCUCUUUUCAGGGAAAGAACACCGGAUGGCGCUGAAAUUCUAUUGAAUAAUAUGUUGGCAAAUGAAAAUAAUUGGGCACCUCCCGAGCUACCUCCUGAGCCAGUUCCUGAGCCAAUUACUGAGCCUAUUCCUAAACCAACUCCGAAGAAGAGAGGUGUUCUAUUUCUCAGUCCCGAAGAUAUGCAAGAGGCAAAGAAAUCUAUGAAAGAAAAAGGUAUUAAAGCUGAAGAUGUUAAGAAUUUACCUCCUAUUGAAGAAAUAUAUGGUCUUAAUUUACCGCCUGUUGAAGAAGUAUAUGAUCUCAAUUACUUAUUUACUGAAGAACCUCCCGAUAUCCCGACACAGGUAGUAAAGGUAAAUUCUCUCUAUAGAUAUGAUAAAGCUGAAGUCCCUCCUACUAAAAUUGCUAGUCAGUGCUUGGAUGAGUUUGAUGACUUUAUGUUUAAGCAAGAUGACUUUAAUGCUUAUUUUGGUAGACAAUUAAAACAGAAUACCUUUAUGAUUAAACGCUUGGGUGAUUAUAUGGCUGAUAUUAGAGGUGAACUUAAACUUGUUAGCAAACAUGCUUCUAUAGUUACCACUCAUGUAGAACAAGUACUUAAAGCUCAGAAAGAAGUGUUUGAUGAAAUGAAUAGUAAGAAAAAUGAUUAUGCUGUUAGAGUGGCUACUAGAACUGGUAGAAUGACUCAGGAACCUUUGUAUCCUGAAGGCCACCCUAAGAGAAUCGAGCAAGAUUCUCAGAGAAACAAUAUUGAUGUACCUAGUUCUUCUAAGAGGAAGAAAAAGAAAAAUGAUAGGACUUUGCAAACUUCUAGUGAACCUAUUGCUGAACCACCUGAGAAUCCAAAUGAUAUCUCUAUUUUUGAUGCUGAAACACAAUCAGGUGAUGAACAUGAACCUAGUGAUAAUUUUAAUGAUAAUGUUCAUGUUGAUGCUCAACCUAGUAAUGAUAAUGAUGUAGAAGUUGAAGCUGCUGUUGAUCUUGAUAACCCACAAUCAAAGAAUCAACGUUAUGAUAAAAGAGACUUCGUUGCUAGGAAACAUGGUAAAGAAAGGGAACCAUGGGUUCAGAAACCCAUGCCUUUUCCUCCGAAACCAUCCAAGAAAAAGGAUGGUGAGGAUUUUGAGCGCUUUGCUGAAAUGAUUAGACCCAUCUUUCUGCGUAUGCGAUUAACUGAUGUGCUCAAAACAAAUCCUUAUGCUAAGUAUAUGAAGGAUAUCAUUACUAAUAAAAGAAAGAUACCUGAAGCUGAAAUUUCCACCAUGCUUGCUAAUUAUACCUUUAAAGGUGGAAUACCAAAGAAACUUGGAGAUCCAGGAGUACCUACUAUACCAUGCUCCAUUAAGAGGAAUUAUGUUAAAACUGCUUUAUGUGAUCUUGGAGCCGGCGUCAGUGUUAUGCCUCUGUCUUUAUAUCAUAGACUUGACUUAAAUAAGUUGACACCUACUGAAAUAUCUUUGCAAAUGGCUGAUAAAUCAACUGCUAUACCUGUCGGUAUUUGUGAGGAUGUGCCUGUUGUGGUUGCAAACGUUACUAUUUUAACGGACUUUGUUGUUCUUGAUAUUCCCAAGGAUGAUAGUAUGUCUAUUAUUCUUGGAAGAUCUUUACUUAAUACUGCAGGGGCCGUUAUUGAUUGCACCAAAGGCAAUGUCACUUUUCAUGUUAAUGGCAAUGAGCACACGGUACAUUUUCCGAGGAAACAAACUCAAGUUUAUAGUAUCAACUCUAUUGGAAAAAUUCCAUCGAUUAUAUUUGGAGGUUUUGAAUUCCCUAUCCCUAAUGUCAAGAAAAAGUAUGAUAUUCUUAUUGUUGGGGAUUUUCAUAUCCCUGUUGAGGUAACUUAGUGUCAUUCAAAAUUUCCCUCGUUCCGUGAUUAUUCGGAAUGAGUUUGUUAACAAGACUUGAUCAACCUUGUUAGCGGGUUCAUUUUGGUGAUCACGAGAUGUAUGAAACUAGAAGCACAACCUUCUGUACCCUCUUUAUAUUUUCUGUUAUUUAGUAGAAAUAAAGUAAAAUAGUAUUUUUCUGUCUGUCUCCUAACUUAUCCAUGCAAUAUAAAAAUAUCCCAAAAUUAAAAGUCCUCAGAAUGCCGUGCCAAUUUAAUAUGAUUUUUCAGGAAUAUUUAAGGAUUUACUGUGCAAAAAUUACCGCGGAGGGAGCUGCCACCUGGUCACAAGGGUGGAGGGCGCGCCCUACCCCCCUGGGAGCGCCCCCCUGCCUCGUGGGCCCAUGAUGACCCUCCUCCACUUAUUCCUGCACCCAUCUUCUUCCUUUGCCUCACACAAACACGAAAAACCAACUCAAGCACGAGUUCCAGCCCCCGUUGCUGUGAUUUUCGAUCUCCUUGCUCAAAGCACCUCUUGCAAAACUGCUUGGGUAGAUUGUUCCUUGGUAUGUGACUCCUCCAUUGGUCCAAUUAGUUUUUGUUCUAGUGCUUUAUUCAUUGCAAAUUUGUGCUCCAUAGGUGACCAUAUUCUUGAGCUUGCAUGUUAAAUUUAUAUGGUUCCAAGUAGUUCCAAUGCUUUAUAUAGGCUCUAGGCACUUGUGGGAGUUGUUGCUAUCAAUUUUAUUGAAGUUGGUUCACUUUUAUUUGAAGUUACUAAAAAUUUCAGACUGUUUCAGAAAAUAAUGAAGAAAUUUUUGAGGGGCUCGUCGAGCCGAAGCUCUAAUGAAAAAUAAAAGGAAGAAGAGCAGAAGCCCAAAUUUAAUUUGCCUCGCACCACGGAGGUCCGGCCGUGUGAAUGGCCUUCCGAUGACUUCUUGAGGAGAGCUGGGAUUUAUGAAGAUUUCUAUCUAUUGAUUGAGAAUGCUGGCCUCACCAACUUCCUCCACGACCAACGUCGUCAGUAUCUCUUACUCACAAAUACUUUUGUGCAAAACUUCUACUUUUUCCCUAAGAAAUCACCUCCAACAGUAGAGUUUCAUUUAUAUGACGUUGUUAAAGAGAUGACAUUAGCUGAAUUCUGCGAGGUUUGCAGAAUACCCUUUGAUGGAAACUUAGAUGAACCCCACCGUAAUGAAGUAGAAGCUUUUAUUAACACUAUCACUGUGGGAGAAACCAGGAAGGUUUCUGAUGCAAGGAUCACUAGCAUACAUUUUCCUGUUUUACGCUACUUUGCCUUAUUUGCUAGUCGUUGCUUGAUUGGACGCGGGAACUGUGGGAACCUUAGUAUUCCUGAUAUUAUUAUUUUGCUCCAUGGUUUAUACCGCAAUAACUCUGUUAGUAUGGGUGGAAUUGUUGCUAGACGGUUAAGUCUGAACCGUACUAAGGUCCCAUCUUUGGAGGCAUUUAUGCUUCACGCCUAGCUGAACAUUUUGAAAUACCUAUUAGGCAUGAGGAGGAAGAAGAAACAACGCUGCCCCGUGUUUAUUUAGAUUAUAAGAUCAUGAUAGCGCAUGAUUUUCUUGUUAAGAGUCGCGAUGGGGAGCUCAAAUAUAAAUUAUACUUUGAUAAACAUCACCCUGAGACUAUUACUUUGCCUGCUCCUUCUUUGUUUAACUUGUCUGCAGAACCUCACAUCGUUCCGUGGUCGGCUGUUCAAGCCUAUCGGAAUCCUGCACCAGCCCCGGAGCCGGAGCCACAAGAUGAGCCUCCACGACUAUCUGUUUAUUCUUGGGAUCCAGAGGAGGCUGCCAGCCAGUGGCAUCCGGAGUCUUCUUCAUCACAGUAUAACCCCAGCUUCACCUACGGGUAUCCGCCAGGCUAUCUCUGGCAAUAGACCAACUUAGGCCAAAAGCCUAAGCUUGGGGGAGUACGUAUUUCCCAUCGACAUUACAUUCAUGUUCACACACACACUCAUUGCUAUCUGUCGGUGCUCAUACUAUUUCACUGUAAUAUCCAUGCUAGUUUACUUUCUUUUUCCUGCUUUCUUAUUGUGUGUUUGUUAAACUUUAAGAAAAAACAAAAAAAAUAGUAGUAGUUUACUUUUUUGCUUGUAGUAGAAAUUAAAAAGAAAAAACCCAAAAAUAUUUCCCGUUCUUCUUUUACUUGUUGGGAGCUUUCCCGUGUAAAUGGUUUUUAUUUUAUUUUCUUUUUUUGGGGGUUGAGAAGACCAUAUUGAAAAUGCUUAGUGGCUCUUAUAUGCAUGAUUGAUUAUUUAAAUUUAGAGACCAUAUUACUUGUCUUCUCUCUUGAGUUGAAUGCUUGCAGAUUCCAGCUUAGUCCAAUGCACGUGCACUCUUAUUAUUAUACACACCGUUUAGUCGUGCAAGUGAAAGGCAAUAAUGAUGAUAUAUGAUGUACUUAUUGGGAUGAGAAAAACUGGUAUGAACUCGACCUCUCUUGUUUUUGUAAAUAUGAUGAAUCAUCGUUCCUGAGUCAGCUAUUAUGAAGUAAACAUAUUUGCAAUGACAUUUAGGGAUUAUAGUUGCUUGUGCCAUGCUUGAUUAGCUAUGAGCUAUAAUGGUUUACCUUGCGUGCCAAUAUGCUAUUAGAAUGAUUAUGAUGUGGUAUGAUGGGAUGGUAUCCUCCUUUAAAUGAAUUGAGUGACUCGACUUGGCACAUGUUCACGCAUGUAGUUGAAUCAAAUCAACAUAGCCUUCAUGAUAUUUAUGUUCAUGGUGGAUUAUAUCCUACUCAUGCUUGUAUUUGGUGUAAAUUAAUUUUAAUGCAUGUUUACGACUGUUGUCGCUCUCUCAGUUGGUCGCUUCCCUGUCUUUUGCUAGCCUUCACCUGUACUAAGCGGGAAUACUGCUUGUGCAUCCAAACUCCUUAAACCCCAAAGUUAUUCCAUAUGAGUCCACUAUACCUACCUAUAUGCGGUAUUUACCUGCCGUUCCAAGUAAAUUUUUAUGUGCCAAACUCUAAACCUUCAAAUAAACAUUCUGUUUUGCAUGCUCGAAUAGCUCAUAUGUCAACUAGAGCUGCCCUUAUCUUCCGUGUUAGGCGGGUUAUUCUCAAGAGGAGUGGACUCCGCUCCUCAUUCACGAGAAAAUGGCUGGUAUCCGGGAUGCCCAGUCCCAUGCUUUAUGCAAACUAAAUCAAAAUAACUGCAAACAAAACUCCCCUUGGGACCCAUUGAAUGUUGGUGGCACUCGUUGUUUCGAGCAAGCCAUGGAUUGAUGCUUGUGGAGGAAGGGGAGUAUAAACUUUACCAUUCUGUUUGGGAACCGCCUAUAAUCUGUUUAGCAUGGAAGAUAUCGUCGUCUUUUAGUUGUUAUGUUGACAAUGAAAGUAUGCCGCUCAAAAUAUAAUUUAUCUCUAUUUCAAAACUGAGCUCUAGCACCUCUACAAAUCCCUGCUUCCCUCUGUGAAGGGCCUAUCAAUUUACUUUUAUGUUGAGUCAUCACCCUUCUUAUUAAAAGCAUCUGCUGGAGAGCACACUGUCGUUUGCAUUCAUUAUUAUUGGUUUAUAUUGGGUAUGACUUGACUGGAUCUCUUUUACCAUGAAUUACAAUGUUUAGUCAGUCCUUGAUCUUUAAAGGUGCUCUGCAUUUAUGUUUUGCGGUCUCAGAAAGGGCUAGAGAGAUACCAUUUUGUUAUAUCAUGUUAUGAUUAUUUUGAGAAAGUGUUGUCAUCCGAGUUUUAUUAUUAUGGCUCGCUAGCUAAUUAUGCUAUUGAUAUGAGUAACUGUGAGACCUACAUGUUAUUGUGAGUAUGGUUAGUUCAUAAUAUUUGCUGAAACUUGAAUGCUGGCUUUUCAUGUUUACAACAACAAGAGCAAACAGAGUUUGUAAAAGUUUUUCUUUUUCUCUUUCAGUUUGUCAACUGAAUUGCUUGAGGACAAGCAAGGGUUUAAGCUUGGGGGAGUUGAUACGUCUCCGUCGUAUCUACUUUUCCAAACACUUUUGCCCUUGUUUUGGAUUCUAACUUGUAUGAUUUGAAUGGAACUAACCCGGACUGACGCUGUUUUCAGCAAAAUUGCCAUGGUGUUGUUUUUGUGCAGAAAAUAAAAGUUCUCGGAAUGACCUGAAACUCCACGGAACACGUUAGAAAAAACAAUAAAAAAUCCUCGCAAAAGAUGAAGACCAGAAGGCCCACACCCUGUCCACGAGGGUGGGUGGCGCGCCCCCUGGGCGCACCCCUACCUCGUGGGCCCCCUGGUGGCCCUCCGAUGCCAACUCCAACUCCAUAUUUUGGCUUUCGGGGAGAAAAAAAUCAGAGAGAAGAAAUCAUCGCGUUUUACGAUACGGAGCCGCCGCCAAGCCCUAAUCUCUCUCGAGAGGGCUGAUCUGGAGUCAGUUCGGGGCUCCGGAGAGGGGCAUUCGUCGCCGUCGUCAUCAUCAACCAUCCUCCAUCACCAAUUUCAUGAUGCUCACCGCCGUGCGUGAGUAAUUGCAUCGUAGGCUUGCUGGACGGUGAUGGGUUGGAUGAGAUUUAUCAUGUAAUCGAGUUAGUUUUGUUAGGGUUUGAUCCCUAGUAUCCAUUAUGUUCUGAGAUUGAUGUUGCUAUGACUUUGCUAUGCUUAAUGCUUGUCACUAGGGCCCGAGUGCCAUGAUUUCAGAUCUGAACCUAUUAUGUUUUCAUGAAUAUAUGUGUGUUCUUGAUCCUAUCUUGCAAGUCUAUAGUCACCUACUAUGUGUUAUGAUCCGGGAACCCCGAAGUGACAAUAAUCGGGACCACUCCCGGUGAUGACCAUAGUUUGAGGAGUUCAUGUAUUCACUAUGUGCUAAUGCUUUGUUCCGGUUCUCUAUUAAAAGGAGGCCUUAAUAUCCCUUAGUUUCCAAUAGGACCCCGCUGCCACGGGAUGGUGGGAGGGUAGGACAAAAGAUGUCAUGCAAGUUCUUUUCCAUAAGCACGUAUGACUAUAUACGGAAUACAUGCCUACAUAACAUUGAUGAACUAGAGCUAGUUCUAUGUCACCCUAUGUUAUGACUGUUACAUGACGAACUGUAUCCGGCAUAAUUAUCCAUCGCUAAUCCGGUGCCUACGAGUUUUCCAUAUACUGGUUCUCGCUUAUUUAAUUUUCCGUUGCUACUGUUACAAUCACUACAAAAUACCAAAAACAUUACUUUUGCUAUCUUUACUUUUGUUACCGUUACCACUACUAUCAUAUUGCUUUGCUACUAAACACUUUGCUGCAGAUACUAAGUUUCCAGGUAUGGUUGAAUUGACAACUCAACUGUUAAUAGUUGAGAAUAUUCUUUGGCUCCCCUUGUUUCGAAUCAAUAAAUUUGGGUUGAAUACUCUACCCUCGAAAACUGUUGCGAUCCCCUAUACUUGUGGGUUAUCAUCUUCCCUGGGUCACGCCGUGAAAUAAAGCCACCCCUGUUCCUAAGCCGCCGACACCAUGAGUCGCCGUCUCCAAUGCCGCUACAAUGCACUUCCUCGAGUCGGCCUUGUACGGCCGUACCUAGUCCACGAUUCAGAGAUGAACUCAGUUUUCGCCGGACCCUGGUUCGUCAACCGCCGCCUCCGCGGCGCUCGCAUCCGAGCUGCCACAUCGCCGGUCGUUUCCGCUUCCACGGCCCUUGUCCCCUGAAAGUUGCGUCGAGCCUUUUUCAUGGUCCUCGUCUCCAUCGACGGGCCGCCCUGCUGUCUCGUGCCGUCCUCGGGCUGCUGCGGCGCCGCCGGUGAGCCACUGCCCGAGAGCAGCUGUUGAGCCGCCUCUCUGCCUUACUCCGCUGCCGCUGACCCAGAGUCGCCUCGGCUGCGGCUCGCCCCCACUGGCCUCGAUCUUGAGCUACUACGGUUGAGUUGCCCUGGCUCGUCCUCUGCAUCAAACUGCCGUGGCCGCCUCGCUGGCGAUUCGCCCCUCCGGUUUUCAAGUCGCCUCCUACUGCCGUUCUGCUGCGGCUACUUCUUGAUCCAUUGUCGCUAGUGCGCCAAGCCGCCACCACCAACCGCCAGCUUCGCCUCCAUCAGAACUUCAAGUCGCCUCGACUCCGAGUCGCCUGAGCUGUCGUUGCCGCCUUGCGGGUGGUUUUCUGUCGCGGUCGCGGCCUUGCAUCGCCGGGCCCCCGUCCGAGUCACCUAUUGCCCUGUCUCUGCUGCCACAUAUGCCACUUCUGGCAAGACGUCGCAUCGUCUGUCAAAGUCGCCGGCGCCUCACUGCGCUCUCUUACAUGGCCUUUCAAGCUGCCACGGCCCCUGUUGAGCUGCCGGUCUUCACCGCCAGGGACGUGCCUAUGAGUCGCCACCUCCUUCACCGUGACCCGCCGCGUCGCUCUUCUGCCGCGGCUCGCUUUGCUCUGGCCAGCGCCGGCUUGCUGCUGCCGUUGGCCACCUGCGCUGACCGCCUGCUGGCUUCGUUAUGCCUGCCACCCAUCUCACUCUGUUGCAACUACAGCAGCGCCGAGCCGGGCUAUCUCACUGCCGUGUGGCCAAGCCGCCGUUGCCGGGUUUACCGUCCUCGUGCAUCACUUCUGUUCCAACCCGCGCGGGGGUUGGCCGCCCGCCUGUUCAAUCUCUUCGCGGACGCGCCCAAGGAGGAGUGCGAUGAAUUCACUGCUGCCAUGGCACUUGGGGGCUGUAGGCCUGUAGCCCUUUCUGCUUUGAGCCUACAGCUCCCGCACAUGCCGGGUCAACGCUGCACUGACCCUUCGUUUCGAGCUGCCGGGGCGCGUGGCCGCUGGGUAACCACGCCCGCUCCCCCUGCAAGACCAGUGCUGGCUCCUUGCACGGCCCACAUUCCGCUGCGGCCGGCUCUCUGAGUCUCCAACCCGCCCUCACCCACGAGCAGCCUCCGCUACGGCGGGUCAACAUCGAGCCGCUGCCGAAGCCUCGCCGACCUCUGUUGUGGUCGGCCGGUCUACCUCUCCGCGACCUCGCUUCGAGCUCUUUUUGUCUCAAAUCACUGUCGCUACCGCCGCCCGGCGGUUGCGACCAUGGCCAUGGCCUUGCCUCAAGUCGUCGUCUUCAACUGCCAAGCCGUCUCUGCCGCUGUGACUCACGGUGGCCGUGGUUCGCCUCCAGGCCCAGCGCUGUACACCCUUGCCUCGGUACUCGGCCGCGCGCCCGUGCUGUUUCCGUGGUCGCACCCACCUACCGGUUCACCGCUGCAAGCCUCCGCUAUAAGCCGCUGUGAUGCUGCCGCGUGCUAUCGCGUCUGCCAUAGCCUCGCCGUUGCGGCCUCGCUCUGCCGCUGUCGCUCGUCCCGCCUCUGCUAGGCUUCGCUGCUUCUGCCGCGAGCCGGCCAGCGCACCAAGUUGCCGCUUCAAGCUGCCUGAGCCGUUAUACCUUUUCUGGCCAGGCCUGACCCAUCGUGCCUGAGCUCGCCUGAGCUGCCGUGAGCAUCCGCGUCCACCUCACAUCCGCUCCACUCCAACCACGCGGAUACGCAGCCGCCCCGGGUUGCCUCGGCUCCGCUCCAUGUCAGCUCGUCGUUUCCCUGCGGUUGCACCCAUUGUUUAACUCCACGGCCUCGUGCCGCCCUUGCCAGAGCAUGCUUCGGGCCGCUUUUUGCUCCGGGUCAUCGCAGAGGUGCCGCCGAGCCGCCUUUGGCCACCUUGCUUCUGCGCCCGGCAGGCGUGCAUCUGUGCCCGGCGCGCCCCCGCCUUACUGCAUUGCGUGCGCCGCAGCGGGUCCUACGCAUCCGCACUGCCGUGGGCCUCCUCUGCCUCACCGUCCUCAUGGCCUGCCCGAGCCGCCGCUUGUCUCCGCCGGGUUACCAUGCGUUCAACCACCGUUCCCGAGCCGUUUUUGCCAUGACCCCAAGCUGCUGGUCUCCGCCGGCGCACCUCAGCGGUUGAGCCGACUCCACCUCUGCUCCGUCACAAGCAAACCUCCGCCAGAUUUUCACUUCAAGCCGCCAGUUGCUGCGUUUUUGUUUGACGCCUCUACUUCUGUCGGAUCAUUGAGCCGCCGUGACCGCGCGAGCUGUCCCGGCGUGAGCAGCUUCGCCGGCCGAGCCGCGCCCCUGUUUCAAAUCGUUGUGUUGAGCUGCCACCGUGACCCGCCGGCAUGCCACCUCCAAACCGCUCCAGCUAGAGCCGCCGCCUUGGCUUCCCGUGAGCUGGUUCUUUGACGCAACCUCACGCCUGGUUGUGCUUAGUUUCCUCUUCCUCCGAGCGUUCGCCGAAGCCGGUUCCAGGUCGUCGCCCAGGCCUGCCUCCCCGCUGUGGCUGGCAGCCCGUGCAACAGAAGAGACAUAAUCACUUUAAAAAAAUCAGGAUAGGCGCAUGCAUGGAGAAGGAAAAAGGGCUCCGUUACAUUGUUUAUUGGCAUAGAUCUCGAAAUUUGACAAGCACUAGGCCUACUACCAGCUGCUGACAGUCGGUACGCAUGGCGAAAGUAAACCUGCCCAAAGCCACUUGAUUAAAAGAAAUACAGAGAAGAAGGGAGCAGCUGGAUUGGUUAAAGCAACUACAACCCGGAGAAGAACGAGGACUCGACUCUGCCGCAACCGCGGCCGUACCACGCCAGCGUAUCUCCGCUGCCGGGCCUCGCCUCAUCGACCCGUCAGUGCGCCUCGCACUCGCCUGUGCCUCCUCGGUUUGGCCGUGCCCGGAUUCUCUCCGGCGGCCAUGCACCUGCGACGCCCGCACCGGUGGCUUCGCCACCCGUUUUUGCACACAUACAUGGAGACCAAGGGUGUGCUAAUGGCCGCACCCACAUACGUGCGAAAAAUACCAGAUGCUAUUUACCCUAUUUAUUUUUAAGUACAUAUUAAUUCAUCCAAGCAAAACUACCUUGCCCUUCUGUAUUUUAUAUGCAGGAGAAUUAUUCAUUACAAAGUGGCAUUAUACCGCGGAGAUGGAGGCGCCAACAUCAUUUCGCACAGGUGGUCGUUGUUACUGAACGGACUCCCACACCGGCUUACAACGCCGUGGCCGUCUCUCGCGACCGCACCGGCUUACAACGCCACGAACGACUCGCACAUCCGCUCUCGCGGCCGGUUCACGCGUCCGCACCAGCUUACAACGAGGAGGACAACUUUGCUCGUCCGCACCGGCUUACAACGCUGCGGCCGACUCAUCUGUCUGCUCUCGCGGUCAAUUCGGCCGUCAUUGUUCUCAGCUUCAUUGUGGUGAUCAUCAACUCUGCGGUGGAUAAUUUCUGGCGUAACAUAUCAUGUGAAAUUCAUCCAUUAUAUUUUUAUAUUACAUAUUGAUUUCUUUAAAAGUGCAAUUACUUUGGCUUGCAAGUUCUCCCAUACAGGAUUCAAACCGGUUUUUUUAUCACGGUCAAUUAUGAAGAAUCUCAAGCCAACUCCUCAAGUCGCCUUGAGACUUGGGGGCUAUGAUGACAUGACUCUGUAAAUGAUUACCAGUUUAAAGCAGAUUCAAGAACUCCGGGUCAUUGGAGGGAAAAUAACCCGGCCCCGGAGACUACUACCUUAUUUGCAAAUAUUUAAAGGUCGUCAGGAAAUUUCUGGCUUAAAAAGAAUGAUUCAGGUUCAAGAUCCGGUUCAAGGUAAACCUGUCUCCCAUAAAGCUUUGAAGCUCUGAAAUCCGGUUUAAAGUCCCGGUUCAAAAAAUAAUCUCUCGCAAGUUCGAGUUCUCAAACAAAUUAAGGGUUGUCAAAAGAGAACUUGCUGCCAGGAUGCGCGGUUCAACCAUGGGUAUCCUGCCUUACGGCUUAUCUUAUUAUGGUCACUUGGGGGCUUCCUGCUGAUCGAGCAUAGCUGGCGGUACCCUCUUGAUUGGCGUCAUGCCAAAUUUAUGGUCACUUGGGGUCUCAGACUGGGGCAACAUGUACCCGGACACGCCAUCGAACUCCAGAACUGACCACCCCCCCACGCGACUAUGACAUCAGAGGAGGAAACCAGAACUGUCAGCUUUCAGCCACAAACCUAGCACAAGAUACACCAUCUUCCAGCUGUCACUUGCAUAGACAAUUGUCUGCGCGUACUCCUGGACGAAAAAACCUCCCUGCUCCACCAUGACGUCGGAGAUAACGCCGUAGCAAUGGGGAUAGAGCAGAAGGAGAGACACACCUGAUGGAGUCACCGCCGCCACCUCGCCGACACCAUCCAUGAACCCUAACGUCGAUCGGCAAACACACGAUGCCAUCAACUCCGAGACGCCGCCAUGAUGAGCACCACCAGUGUGAGAGUGAAGUUGAGGCAGAUUUAUUCGCCCGGGCGUCGCUCCCACCACCCCAAUGACGCACCACACCUACAAAUCCAAACCCUAACUACUGAGCGGAGAUACGGGGUCCCCCCUCCCUCCUGCUGCCGGAGCAGCAGCCGGAGGGAGAGGGGGCCAACUUCUUGGCCGAUGGAGAUCGGUGGAAGAAGAUUCGCCUCCCUAGUCGCCUGGUUGUGGUGGCGGCUAGGGCAGGGGAAAAACGCCUCGCGUCAACUCGUCUCCGAUUAAUCUGGGGACCAAGGGCUGCUACUUGUGCGACAAGCACGGGAUGUCUACUCCUACAAGAAUAGCUCACCGUUACUUCGUACAAACCGUGACGAGCGUAUGCGGCCAAGCCAAAUACGGAGUCAAUACAAUAUUGUUGAAGUGCAGCUCCUCACAAGGAGGCGAGCUCCAUAACAUCAAAAUUCGUGGCGCCCCUCACGAGGAGGCAGACUGAUUACCGCAUUGAUUUCCCCCUUACAAGGAGGUGACAUUAAUCCUUACGUCCGCCGCUCAUGAGGAGGCGGAUCAUUACACUAAUUUCAUCCCUUACGAGGAGGCGAGAUUAGUCAAGUUACGCCCCUCAUGAGGAGGCGAGCUCAUUACGUUGAUUUCGUCCCUUACGAAGAGAUGAGAUUAAUCCCUAUGUGUGCCCUUUACGAGGAGGUGGAACGAAUCAUUACACUGAUUUUGCCAUGAGGAUGCAAGAUUAGUCAAAUAUUGUUGUAGUUCCGCCCCUCACGAGGAGGCGAGUUCUGUAACACUAAAUUAGUUUCGCCCCUUACGAGGAGGUGAGACUAAUCUCUAUAUUGUUUCUGCCUCUUACGAGGAGGCGAGGAAAUAAUCUGACAUUAAUCUUGCUCCCACGAGCAUGCGAGUUUAAUAUACACUUUGUUGCAAGCGCCGCCUAAUAUGCAUUUGUGAUAUUUUUCUUCAUCGACAUCUUGGUCGAGUGUCGACGAGACCAAAGGCUACACAUACAUCACCAUUAUUUCCACCACAUGUCAAUACCGACGAGGCUAGGCAAAACUAUGGCUGAGUGCCGACGAGGCCGGGUCACUGUUCUCUUGACAUGUCUCAAACCUAUAGGGUCGGACACACCGUUGCUAGGCACCGAUGAGGCGAUAGCUACACAUGUCCGCGUCUGAUGAAAUCAGGGCGAUACAUGAUUGGGCACCGAUGAGGCGAAAGUCAUCCCCUUCAUCUAGCUACACAUGCUGUUGAUCGCACCAACAUGUCAAUAGUACAUGUGACUGGGUAUUGGCGAAACAAAGCCACCCGCACAAAUAUUCACAUAAAAUAUCACAUGCGUAUGGAUGAGCAAUCCAGCACACGACGACCACCAUCAGCGCAGCUUAAUCAAAGGUAUCCCGUGGGCUCGAUCCCGCGGAUGUAAUUAACCGGAUGCUUGCAAACGUACCGGGAAUCAUUGAACUACCCAAUCACCUAGUCAGAUACUCCGUGAGGGCGAUGUAGAAGGCAAAAAAGGAUAAAAUUCCUGUGGAAGCACUAUCUUGUAUUUUGGACGAUGCAAUGAUAUUAAUAAAAUGCAGUGUUCCCCCAUGUUCAUUUGUCCAUCUAUUUUUGUCUAUCUUUCAUUUGUCCAUCUAUUUUUGUCUAUCUGUUUAGUGUAUUUUUCUUGUUUUCUGUAAACAAGUGGCAAGCCCGCAUAUAUUUAUUUCUUGUACGCAUUAGGAAAUACCCUCCCUAAAAAGGGAGCGGCGCGUUUCUUUUUGGAAAAACAAAAUGGCACACCUGGUGGGACCUGAUUCUCCUCCCAUCUUUGCUGCACUCCAAUGGUCGUCAAAUUUUCACUGGUGGAAAAAGGGCCUUUGGUCGCGGUUCGCAACUGCCAUUAGUCGCGGUUGCGCAACCGCGACCGAACGGGCGCGACUAAAGGCCCCCCCCCUUUAGUCGCGGUUGCUUAAGAACCGCGACUAAAGGCCCGUCCACGUGGGCGCCAGGUGGCCGUCGGGGCGGAGGACCUUUAGUCGCGGUUCUUCUGGCCAACCGCGACUAAAGGCCGCCGCAGGUUUAGGGUUUUAGCCCCCCCCCUUAAACCUGUUUUCUGUUUAAUUUGUAUUGUUUUAUUUCUUUUGUGCUUUAUUUUAAUUUUGAAGGAGUUUCAUAUAUUCUACGGUACUACAUACAUGCAUAUGAAUGUACAAUUUCAAAUAAAUUUGAAAUUAGAACCAAAAAGAAUUCAAGAGGAAUAUACAAUAUAUAUUCAAUAUCAUCGGAUGACCAUAUACAAUUUUGAACAAGUUUCCAUACAUGAUUUAAUGCAUAUAAAGUUCUACGUCCUCGUAAUAGUGUUCUCCUUUAGGCUGGAGGACUUCCCUGCUGAACCAUCCAGCUAGUUCCUCUUGAAGUGGUCGGAAGCGAGCUUCUGGACUAAGCAUCCACCGGAGGUUAUUCCUCUGAGCAUUGGUAUCACUCGGAACCCGCUCAGAGGUGUAUCUCCGGAUCAUCUCACAGACAUAGUAUCCACAUAGAUUGGUCUCCGGUGGCUGAAUAUCCCCAGCAUUCUUAGCCUUUAACAUUUUGAAUUCUAGCUCUUUUUUGAAUUCACCGACCUUUGUAUCUACGAACCGUCUCCAAACCCUACGAGGCAAAGAAAAUUAAAUGAACAAGAGAGUUAUUAAUUAGUUACUUGAUAUUAGGAAAUGAACGAAAUAGGCCGAUUGAUAUAGAGCGCAAAUGAAUGAAAAUAAUUACUUCUGCAGCAUUCUUCUCAUGCCGCCCCAAAGCUUUGGAUCCAUAUUCACAGAGUCGUGGACGAGACAUUCUGAGGUGUUAACUUUAAUUACUAGCAGAAUCCAGUGGAACCUGCGGACAUGAUACAUGCACAGUACGUCAUGCAUAACUCAUCGAUUAGCCGGCCACAUACCAUGCAUGGAGUAAACAAAAGAGAAUGUGCUCAAGACAGAAACACUCACUCAAAAUGGUAAGGAAAUAGAAUAUCACUUUUGAGUUCCUGCUUUGUAAGAAACUGCCACAGGUCUGCCUCCACGUCGGCGGGGUAACGCUCCAAUACAUGUCCAUUAACGAUGUGUGGGUCAAUGAACCCAACAUCAUGGAUGUUCCUUACUCUGCAUUCCUUAAUCUUCAUUCUGCAUGUAUAAUAGCGGACACAACAAUAUAGUUAGGACAUAUAUAUAGUGCAGGCAAUAUGAACGAGAUGGGGUAGAAAUUAAUAAAUCACUUACAGAACGUAGCAACUGAUGAUAGAUUUAUCGAGCUCGCGCAGAUUGAAAAGCUGGAACAAUUCACUCAGUUCAAUUUGUACAUAGUAAUGUUUGAAGUGAUGCUCAUGUCUAACUUCCGCAUAAAUAUAUUCUUUGGCGUUUUUAUUUUUUAUGUAACCCUUGUACCAUUUCAGCAGACCUUUCAUUUGUGGAGGUAGAUCCUUUUCCUGCGCAGGCUCGACGAGAGGCCCAUUCUUGACAUAUGUAAUUACUACCUCCUUUACUGGCGCCUCAUCAAGGCCUAACAGUUCACGAAGAGUAAUACCUAAGUUGGCCGCUUGUUCUCUGGCACUCGUUACAGUCAAUCCCUGUGCUGCCGCAGCUUGUAUGAUCUCGGGGGCAUCCGGACAGAAGGCUUCCACUAUAAGCGGGGCAAUCGAUUGUUUACUUUGUUCCCCGAGCUGGGCAACUUGUUUCCCGCUUUUUUUACUUUCGGCCUUCUCCCGCUCUUUGUUCUCCUUGAACAUGAGUGCCUGCCUGCGAAGUUCACGUGCAUAGUCGUUAGGCAGAUUCUUCGCGGCUUGGGACGGUGUGCUCAAAAAUGACUUAGCCCACUUCUUUUGCUCAUCAGAAAAUACUGGCUUGGGCUCGGGCUCUCUUUUCUUCUUGCAGUCCGCCUUCCAUUUCUCCAAAUCAGCAGCCGCGGCCGCGUCGACUUCCUGGGCACUACGUUCCCAAGGCCUUGUGGGGAGAGGCUUCAGUGAUGGCUCCGGUACCUUUGUGGUCUUAGGUACAUAAGGGUCCGGGUUAAUAAUCCAGGACUGCUUCUGCUUCUUUGCCGGAGGUGGAUUGGGGGGCGGCGUCUGAUCACCCGCUGGACGAGGACUGGGGGGCGGCGGCUGAUCACCCGCCGGACGUUGUGGACUGGGGGGCGGCGUCGGCUGACGUGACGGAGGUGUAGGUGAACCGCCACCACCACCACCACCACCACCACCGCCACCGCCACCACCACCACCGUAGGGGGGUGGACUUGUUGUCCUUGGCGCCUCGCCUGGAAACUUGAUAAACUUCUUUUGCCAUAGAAUGAAAUGGUGCUUGACAUCUCCAAGUCUUUUCUCCCCUUCAGGUGUAGCAAUGUCAAUCUCCAGGUCCUCAAACCCUUGGACUAUGUCCUCCACCGUGACACGAGCAUAGCCAUCUUGAAUGGGGUUGUUGUGGUGGAGUGCUCCAGGUAAACAUGGUAAAGCACUGCCGAUGGCUACCUUCAUGGACAUGUUCCCGAUAGGAUAAUACAGAUGACAUUCUUUCAUCUCCUUUAUAUCGUCCACGGGGUAGCGAGGAGGCUCCGGUGAAGUAAUUUCGACCACCAGAGGCUCCGGUGCAGUAAUUUGGACCACCAGAGGCUCCGGUGUAGUAAUUUCGAUCGUCGGUGCAUCUGCACCAGCCGGUGGGGCCUCCGUGGAAGCCACGCUGCUUCUCCGCUGUUGGCUUCCGAGAUCCGCUGGAUGAUCUUCAUGCUGCACCCGAGCUGCAUCUCUUUCGGCUACUAGUACACUCAUGGUUUUCUUCAUCACAUCCAUUUCCGAUGCCAACCGCGCCACAACAUCUGCUUCCCGAUCCAUCUUUCUCUUACGGCUUCUGUAACCGUACGGGUCAUCGUUCUGGGGGAACCCUAUUUUCCACGGAAUGUGCCCCAUGCCUCGUACACGUCCUCCGUGUUCAGGAUUCCCGAGGGCUUUUGUCAGCGCGUCGUUCUCUCUGUUGAACUUGAUCUUCCCCUGUUGAGCAUCCCUCAUUGCGUUAAUAAGGGCUUGGGUGGGUUUAAUUAAUUUGCCCCGGUAAACACACUCCCCUGUCUCCGGGUUCAGCGUUCCCCCAUGCCCGUACCACCAGCUUUUGGCCCUUGGGUCCCAUCCCUCCGUACCUGGAUGGAUUCCUCGCGCCCUUAGCUCGUUCUCCAUCUUCUCCCACCUAGGCUCCCAAAGGCGAUACCCUCCUGGCCCCAUAACAUGAUUGUACUCCUUCUUAGCCGCAUUUUCCUUAUUUUUUUUCGAUAUUUGAAUGAACUGCUCCGAUUUCUUUUGCUUCACAAAUUCUGGCCAAUCAUGUUUCAGUUUCUCAUAUUGUCCUUUGAAAUCCGGAGUCUUGUUCUGCUUGACAAAGUCAUGGGCUAGAUUUUGCUUGAAUUUCCGGAAUGCGUCGGCCAUCUUAUGAAGAGCGAACUGUUUGACUAGCCUCCUCCUCUCCUUGUUUUCCUCAAUCUUGUUACCCUCCUCAUCGAAUUUGUUGUAUUCCGGAGGUAGAACGAAAUGUUCCAUAAGCUUCUUGAAGCAAUCUUUUUUUGUUCUCUUAUCGACAAAAGUGAAACCAUCAAUUCGUGCCUUCUUUGGCUCAUUCCACUCCUGGACGGUGAUCGAGACGUUGUCUCUAACAAUGGCUCCGCAUUGGCUGACAAACUUGGUGGCAUUCUUGCGGGGCUCCAGCGGCCUGCCGGUUGCACUGUCGACAACCUCGAUGGUGCAUGUUUCUCCUUGUUUCAUCGUCUUGGUUGCGCCACGCUUUGACGACGUACUCGAUUGUUUCGACGAUCCGGCUGAGGGCUAAAAUAAGAAAGAGUCGCGCGCGUUAGUACACACAUAUUUAUUCAAAUCAGUUAGUUUGUAUCACCAGAGGCUCAAUGUAUAUAUAUACCUCGGCGCCGGAGGUGGUUGCUACUUCCAUUUGAAGAUCGUCGUUUAUCGACGUUUGUUCGGCAUCAUCUUGCUGACAGCGCCCUUCAUCUUCACCGUCAAGGUUCAGAUAAGAAGAGAUAUCAUCUUCUUCUUCUCCGGUCGGCACAUAUAGAAUAUCGCCGUUUAUGAUGCCGAACAUAUGUGCUUCACCGUCCGGAUCAUAGUUGUCCAUAAUCGGGUCAGCUCUAUCGUCCGCCAUUAUGUCAGUCCUGAAAACAUGUAGUAAAAACAAAUUAAUUAAGUGAAGAAGGGGGGCGGUGGUGGUGGCGGUGGCGAAAGGGCGGUGGCGAAAGGAGGGGGCGAGGAAGGGGUGGGAGAGGGUGUCGCGGUAGAGCGCGAGACGGGGCGGCAGACGACGGCGUCACGGAGAGGGGAGGCGAGGACAACACAUUUAUAACCCUCGCCGUCCCCUCUCGAUCCCUAAAAAAACACCGCGCGCAUCGCCGCCCCCCUCGCCGCCCCUCUCCGUAUAAACAAAUUGUCCGAACAGAGCUUGGAGUAGAGUGGCUAGGGUUUGGCCAGGGAUGCAGAUGGAGACGAAUAUAUGUGGGGUCGGGAUGGCCCAUGUGCAGGGCGGGGGGUGCUGGCCACACUCUUUUUUCUUUUCUUUUUCAUUUCAUUUCAUUUUUUCUUUUCCUGUUUUUAUCCUUUUCAUCUUUAAAACAAUUCAGUAUAUCAAAAUAUAGCAAUGAAAAAAGAUAUUUGAGAAAUCAUAAAAUGUAUGUGAAUUCAAAAAAAUGAAUCAUAAAAUGUUCAUGGAUACAAAAACAUUGUGAUUUUGCAAAAAAAAAGGUUUUCAAAAAAUGUUGAUGAUUUUGUGGAAAAAACAGGAAUAAAAACAUAUUGUGUAUUCAAAAAAUGUUUAGGGAUUUCAGAAUAGUUCACGUAUUUAAUUUUUUCACUGAUUCAUGACAUAUUCGUGAAUUUAAAAAUUAUUCGUGUAUUUCAAAAAAUUGAUUUUAUUAGACACAAAAAAAUUCAUCAAAACAAAAAANNNNNNNNNNNNNNNNNNNNNNNNNNNNNNNNNNNNNNNNNNNNNNNNNNNNNNNNNNNNNNNNNNNNNNNNNNNNNNNNNNNNNNNNNNNNNNNNNNNNNNNNNNNNNNNNNNNNNNNNNNNNNNNNNNNNNNNNNNNNNNNNNNNNNNNNNNNNNNNNNNNNNNNNNNNNNNNNNNNNNNNNNNNNNNNNNNNNNNNNNNNNNNNNNNNNNNNNNNNNNNNNNNNNNNNNNNNNNNNNNNNNNNNNNNNNNNNNNNNNNNNNNNNNNNNNNNNNNNNNNNNNNNNNNNNNNNNNNNNNNNNNNNNNNNNNNNNNNNNNNNNNNNNNNNNNNNNNNNNNNNNNNNNNNNNNNNNNNNNNNNNNNNNNNNNNNNNNNNNNNNNNNNNNNNNNNNNNNNNNNNNNNNNNNNNNNNNNNNNNNNNNNNNNNNNNNNNNNNNNNNNNNNNNNNNNNNNNNNNNNNNNNNNNNNNNNNNNNNNNNNNNNNNNNNNNNNNNNNNNNNNNNNNNNNNNNNNNNNNNNNNNNNNNNNNNNNNNNNNNNNNNNNNNNNNNNNNNNNNNNNNNNNNNNNNNNNNNNNNNNNNNNNNNNNNNNNNNNNNNNNNNNNNNNNNNNNNNNNNNNNNNNNNNNNNNNNNNNNNNNNNNNNNNNNNNNNNNNNNNNNNNNNNNNNNNNNNNNNNNNNNNNNNNNNNNNNNNNNNNNNNNNNNNNNNNNNNNNNNNNNNNNNNNNNNNNNNNNNNNNNNNNNNNNNNNNNNNNNNNNNNNNNNNNNNNNNNNNNNNNNNNNNNNNNNNNNNNNNNNNNNNNNNNNNNNNNNNNNNNNNNNNNNNNNNNNNNNNNNNNNNNNNNNNNNNNNNNNNNNNNNNNNNNNNNNNNNNNNNNNNNNNNNNNNNNNNNNNNNNNNNNNNNNNNNNNNNNNNNNNNNNNNNNNNNNNNNNNNNNNNNNNNNNNNNNNNNNNNNNNNNNNNNNNNNNNNNNNNNNNNNNNNNNNNNNNNNNNNNNNNNNNNNNNNNNNNNNNNNNNNNNNNNNNNNNNNNNNNNNNNNNNNNNNNNNNNNNNNNNNNNNNNNNNNNNNNNNNNNNNNNNNNNNNNNNNNNNNNNNNNNNNNNNNNNNNNNNNNNNNNNNNNNNNNNNNNNNNNNNNNNNNNNNNNNNNNNNNNNNNNNNNNNNNNNNNNNNNNNNNNNNNNNNNNNNNNNNNNNNNNNNNNNNNNNNNNNNNNNNNNNNNNNNNNNNNNNNNNNNNNNNNNNNNNNNNNNNNNNNNNNNNNNNNNNNNNNNNNNNNNNNNNNNNNNNNNNNNNNNNNNNNNNNNNNNNNNNNNNNNNNNNNNNNNNNNNNNNNNNNNNNNNNNNNNNNNNNNNNNNNNNNNNNNNNNNNNNNNNNNNNNNNNNNNNNNNNNNNNNNNNNNNNNNNNNNNNNNNNNNNNNNNNNNNNNNNNNNNNNNNNNNNNNNNNNNNNNNNNNNNNNNNNNNNNNNNNNNNNNNNNNNNNNNNNNNNNNNNNNNNNNNNNNNNNNNNNNNNNNNNNNNNNNNNNNNNNNNNNNNNNNNNNNNNNNNNNNNNNNNNNNNNNNNNNNNNNNNNNNNNNNNNNNNNNNNNNNNNNNNNNNNNNNNNNNNNNNNNNNNNNNNNNNNNNNNNNNNNNNNNNNNNNNNNNNNNNNNNNNNNNNNNNNGGCCGCGACUAAAGGUACCCUUUAGUCGCGGUCCGCCUCCCCAACCGGGACUAAAGGGUUUUGGCGCCGCUUCCAUUCCCGCGCAGAAAGACCCUUUAGUCGCAGUUGGGGACAACAACCGUGACUAAAGGGUACCCUUUAGUCACGGUCCGCCUCCCCAACCGGGACUAAAGGUCUGUGCUAGAACUGGCGCGGUGCGGUGGGAUGUUUAGUCCCACCUCGCUAGCCGAGAGGCUUCGACAGUGGUUUAUAAGCGCGGCUGCGCUCACCACUUCGAGCUCCUCUCAAAUGCAGGCUUACGGACCUAUUCUGUCACUAUGUGCCUGUGGGCCUACUCGGCCUUCUGCGGGCCUGAAUCCUGGCCCUUUAAUGGGUUUCUAGUCGUAUUCAGGCCGUGGUGGCCCAGUAGGUGGCAUAUUUUCUUUUUUUCUUCCUUUUUUCCUUUUUCCUUUUUUCUUCUGUUUUUUUCUUCUGUUUUUUUCUUAUGUUUUUCUUCUGUUUGUUUUUUUCUUCUGUUUUUCCUUUUUUCUUCUGUUUUUUUCUUCUGUUUUUUUCUUCCUUUUUCCUUCUUUCUUCUUCUUCCUUUUUCCUUUUAAAAUCAGAAAAAUAAAACUAAUUCAUUUUAAAAUCUUAAAAAUACAAUUAUAUAUCAAAAAAAUCAGAAAAAUAAAACUAAUUCAUUUUAAAACCCCUUGAAGGUUUGACAAAAGGUUUGAUACAUCAUUCAGUUCAUCGACCAAAUACAAAGUUUGGUACAAUAAACUAUUACACAUCAAUUCUUCCCUUGUGUCCCUGCUUGCUUACGAUUGUGCCGUAUCCAUGGAGCAUCCUCAUCAUUUAACUUAAUGCUUGGGUCAAUGUUCACUUUGAAGGGCGGAAUUUCACCAAACAUAUUAUAAUCUUCUGACAUGUCUGUCUUGUCCUCCACUCCCACGAUGUUUCUUUUCCCUGAAAGAACAAUGUGGCGCUUUGGAUCAUCGCAUGAUGUACUGAUCGUUUUCUUAUCUUUCCGUUUCCUCGGUUUGCUACUCAUGUCCUUCAAAUAAAAAACCUGAGCGACAUCUUUGGCAAGGACGAAUGGUUCGUCAAGGUAACCAAGAUUGUUGAAAUCCACCAUUGUCAUUCCGUAUUGCUCGUCCACCUUUACCCCACCUCCUGUUAGCUUGAACCAUUUGCACCGGAACAAAGGGACCUUAAAGGAGGGUCCAUAGUCAAGUUCCCAUAUCUCCUCUAUGUAACCAUAAUAUGUGACCUUUUGCCCAUUCUCGGUUGCUGCAUCAAAGCGGACACCACUGUUUUGGUUGGUGCUCUUUUUAUCUUGGACGAUCGUGUAAAAUGUAUUCCCAUUUAUCUCGUACCCUUGGAAAGUCGUUAUAGUCGAAGAUGGUGUCUUGGACAACAUGUACAGCUGAUCUACAACAUCAUUGUCAUUCAUUAAAUGUUUUCUCAACCAACUGCCGAAAGUCUCCAUGUGGGCCUUCCUAAUCCAGGAUUCAGGCUUCCCCGGGUUGUCCGAGCGUAAAAUAUUCUUGUGUUUCUCAAAGUACGGAGCCACCAAGCUGGAAUUGGUCAGUACAGUGUGGUGUGCUUCAGUCAGAGAAUGGCCGUCCAUACAUAUCGUUGAUUUCCUUCCGAUCGUGCCUUUUCCACUUAGUCUCCCCUCGUGCCGCGAUCGAGGAAGACCAAUCGGCUUAAGGUCAGGAACAAAGUCAACACAAAACUCAAUUACCUCCUCAUUUCCAUAGCCCUUGGCGAUGCUUCCUUCUGGCCUAGCACGGUUACGAACAUAUUUCUUUAAUACUCCCAUGAACCUCUCGAAGGGGAACAUAUUGUGUAGAAAUACAGGACCGAGAACGAAAAUCUCUUCGACUAGGUGAAUCAGGAUCACAUCGUUCUGUAACCGUGGUAGAACUUCUGGAUUGAUUACCUUCUGAGAGAUUGCAUUGAGGAAUGCACAUAGCUUCACAAUGGCUACUCGAACAUUUUCCGGCAGGAGCCCCCUCAAAGCAAUCGGAAGCAAUUGCGUCAUAAUCACGUGGCAGUCGUGAGACUUCAGGUUUUGGAACUUUUUCUCCGCCAUGUUUAUUAUUCCCUUUAUAUUGGACGAGAAUCCAGACGGGACCUUCAUACUGCUCAGGCAUUCAAAAAAGAUGACCUUCUCUUCUUUGGUCAGAGCGUAGCUGGCACGACCUUGAAACCAUUCCGGAUGCCGGUCAUCAGGGUCUUUCAAACGUUGCUGGUCCUGCCGUGCUUCCUUUGUAUCAUUUGUCUUCCCAUACACGCCCAAGAAGCUUAGGAGGUUCACGCAAAUAUUCUUCAUAACGUGCAUCACGUCGAUUGCAGCGCGGACAUCUAGGACUUUCCAAUAUUCUAGCUCCCAGAAUAUAGAUUUCUUCUUCCACAUGGCUGCGUGCCCGUCAGCUCCCUUCGGAACUGAUUGUCCGCCAGGACCCUUUCCAAAGAUGACUUUCAAAUCCUUGACCAUAUCAAAUACCUCAGCACCAGUGCGUUUCGCAGGCUUCGGUCGGUGAUCUGCCUUGCCGUUGUAAUGCUUGCCUUUCUUUCUUACUGGAUGAAUUUUCGGAAGAAAUCGACGAUGCCCAAGGUACACGUUCUUCUUACAAUUUGGCAAAUGUACACUUUCAGUCUCAUGUAAGCAGUGCGUGCAUGCAUUGUAUCCCUUAUUUGACAGUCCCGAAAGGUUACUAAGAGCAGGCCAAUCGUUGAUGGUUACGAAAAGCAACGCUCGUAGGUCAAAUUCCUCUUGUUUGUGCUCAUCCCACACAAGGACACCACCCCACAGCUGUAAAAGUUCAUCAACUAAUGGCCUUAGGUACACAUCGAUGUCGUUGCUGGGUUGCUUCGGACCUUGGAUGAGCACUGACAUCAUAAUGAACUUCCGCUUCAUGCACAACCAAGGAGGAAGGUUGUAGAUGCAUAGAGUCACGGGCCAGGUGCUAUGGCUGGAGCUCUGCUCGCCAAAAGGAUUCAUGCCAUCCGUACUUAGAGCAAAUCUUAUGUUCCUUGCGUCAGCUGCAAAAUCUUUGAACCAUCUGUCGAUCUUUCUCCAUUGCGUUCCAUCUGCGGUGUGUCUCAACUCCCCGUCCGACUUACGGUCCUCUUUGUGCCAUCGCAACAACUUGGCAUGCUCUUUGUUCCUGAACAGACGUUUCAACCGUGGUAUUAUAGGAGCAUACCACAUCACCUUGGCGGGAACCCUCUUCCUGGGUUUCUGGCCCUCAACAUCGUCACCAGGGUCAUCGCCUCUGAUCUUAUAACGCAAUGCAGUGCAUACCGGGCAUUCAUUCAAAUUCUCGUAUUCACCGCGGUAGAGGAUGCANNNNNNNNNNUCCGCCUCCCCAACCGGGACUAAAGGGUUUUGGCGCUGCUUCCGUUCCCGCGCAGAAAGACCCUUUAGUCGCGGUUGGAGAGGCGGACCGCGACUAAAGGUACCCUUUAGUCGCGGUCCGCCUCCCCAACCGCGACUAAAGGUCUGUGCUAGAACUGGCGCGGUGCGGUGGGAUGUUUAGUCCCACCUCGCUAGCCGAGAGGCUUCGACAGUGGUUUAUAAGCGCGGCUGCGCUCACCACUUCGAGCUCCUCUCAAAUGCAGGCUUACGGGCCUAUUCUGUCACUAUGUGCCUGUGGGCCUACUCGGCCUUCUGCGGGCCUGAAUCCUGGCCCUUUAAUGGGUUUCUAGUCGUAUUCAGGCCGUGGUGGCCCAGUAGGUGGCAUAUUUUCUUUUUUUCUUCCUUUCUUCCUUUUUCCUUUUUUCUUCUGUUUUUUUCUUCUGUUUUUUUCUUAUGUUUUUCUUCUGUUUGUUUUUUUCUUCUGUUUUUCCUUUUUUCUUCUGUUUUUUUCUUCUGUUUUUUUCUUCCUUUUUCCUUCUUUCUUCUUCUUCCCUUUUCCUUUUAAAAUCAGAAAAAUAAAACUAAUUCAUUUUAAAAUCUUAAAAAUACAAUUAUAUAUCAAAAAAAUCAGAAAAAUAAAACUAAUUCAUUUUAAAACCCCUUGAAGGUUUGACAAAAGGUUUGAUACAUCAUUCAGUUCAUCGACCAAAUACAAAGUUUGGUACAAUAAAUUAUUACACAUCAAUUCUUCCCUUGUGUCCCUGCUUGCUUACGAUUGUGCCGUAUCCAUCGAGCAUCCUCAUCAUUUAACUUAAUGCUUGGGUCAAUGUUCACUUUGAAGGGCGGAAUUUCACCAAACAUAUUAUAAUCUUAUGACAUGUCUGUCUUGUCCUCCACUCCCACGAUGUUUCUUUUCCCUGAAAGAACAAUGUGGCGCUUUGGAUCAUCGCAUGAUGUACUGAUCGUUUUCUUAUCUUUCCGUUUCCUCGGUUUGCUACUCAUGUCCUUCAAAUAAAAAACCUGAGCGACAUCUUUGGCAAGGACGAAUGGUUCGUCAAGGUAACCAAGAUUGUUGAAAUCCAGCAUUGUCAUUCCGUAUUGCUCGUCCACCUUUACCCCACCUCCUGUUAGCUUGAACCAUUUGCACCGGAACAAAGGGACCUUAAAGGAGGGUCCAUAGUCAAGUUCCCAUAUCUCCUCUAUGUAACCAUAAUAUGUGACCUUUUGCACAUUCUCGGUUGCUGCAUCAAAGCGGACACCACUGUUUUGGUUGGUGCUCUUUUUAUCUUGGACGAUCGUGUAAAAUGUAUUCCCAUUUAUCUCGUACCCUUGGAAAGUCGUUAUAGUCGAAGAUGGUGUCUUGGCCAACAUGUACAGCUGAUCUACAACAUCAUUGUCAUUCAUUAAAUGUUUUCUCAACCAACUGCCGAAAGUCUCCAUGUGGGCCUUCCUAAUCCAGGAUUCAGGCUUCCCCGGGUUGUCCGAGCGUAAAAUAUUCUUGUGUUUCUCAAAGUACGGAGCCACCAAGCUGGAAUUGGUCAGUACAGUGUGGUGUGCUUCAGUCAGAGAAUGGCCGUCCAUACAUAUCGUUGAUUUCCUUCUGAUCGUGCCUUUUCCACUUAGUCUCCCCUCGUGCCGCGAUCGAGGAAGACCAAUCGGCUUAAGGUCAGGAACAAAGUCAACACAAAACUCAAUUACCUCCUCAUUUCCAUAGCCCUUGGCGAUGCUUCCUUCUGGCCUAGCACGGUUACGAACAUAUUUCUUUAAUACUCCCAUGAACCUCUCAAAGGGGAACAUAUUGUGUAGAAAUACAGGACCGAGAACGAAAAUCUCUUCGACUAGGUGAACCAGGAGGUGCGUCAUAAUAUUGAAGAAGGAUGGCGGGAACACCAACUCGAAACUGACAAGACAUUGGAUCACAUCGUUCUGUAACCGUGGUAGAACUUCUGGAUUGAUUACCUUCUGAGAGAUUGCAUUGAGGAAUGCACAUAGCUUCACAAUGGCUACUCGAACAUUUUCCGGCAGGAGCCCCCUCAAAGCAAUCGGAAGCAAUUGCGUCAUAAUCACGUGGCAGUCGUGAGACUUCAGGUUUUGGAACUUUUUCUCCGCCAUGUUUAUUAUUCCCUUUAUAUUGGACGAGAAUCCAGACGGGACCUUCAUACUGCUCAGGCAUUCAAAAAAGAUGACCUUCUCUUCUUUGGUCAGAGCGUAGCUGGCACGACCUUGAAACCAUUCCGUAUGCCGGUCAUCAGGGUCUUUCAAACGUUGCUGGUCCUGCCGUGCUUCCUUUGUAUCAUUUGUCUUCCCAUACACGCCCAAGAAGCUUAGGAGGUUCACGCAAAUAUUCUUCGUAACGUGCAUCACGUCGAUUGCAGAGCGGAUAUCUAGGACUUUCCAAUAUUCUAGCUCCCAGAAUAUAGAUUUCUUCUUCCACAUGGCUGCGUGCCCGUCAGCUCCCUUCGGAACUGAUUGUCCGCCAGGACCCUUUCCAAAGAUGACUUUCAAAUCCUUGACCAUAUCAAAUACCUCAGCACCAGUGCGUUCCGCAGGCUUCGGCCGGUGAUCUGCCUUGCCGUUGUAAUGCUUGCCUUUCUUUCUUACUGGAUGAAUUUUCGGAAGAAAUCGACGAUGCCCAAGGUACACGUUCUUCUUACAAUUUGGCAAAUGUACACUUUCAGUCUCAUGUAAGCAGUGCGUGCAUGCAUUGUAUCCCUUAUUUGACAGUCCCGAAAGGUUACUAAGAGCAGGCCAAUCGUUGAUGGUUACGAAAAGCAACGCUCGUAGGUCAAAUUCCUCUUGUUUGUGCUCAUCCCACACACGGACACCACCCCACAGCUGUAAAAGUUCAUCAACUAAUGGCCUUAGGUACACAUCGAUGUCGUUGCUGGGUUGCUUCGGACCUUGGAUGAGCACUGGCAUCAUAAUGAACUUCCGCUUCAUGCACAACCAAGGAGGAAGGUUGUAGAUGCAUAGAGUCACGGGCCAGGUGCUAUGGCUGGAGCUCUGCUCGCCAAAAGGAUUCAUGCCAUCCGUACUUAGAGCAAAUCUUAUGUUCCUUGCGUCAGCUACAAAAUCUUUGAACCAUCUGUCGAUCUUUCUCCAUUGCGUUCCAUCUGCGGUGUGUCUCAACUCCCCGUCCGACUUACGGUCCUCUUUGUGCCAUCACAACAACUUGGCAUGCUCUUUGUUCCUGAACAGACGUUUCAACCGUGGUAUUAUAGGAGCAUACCACAUCACCUUGGCGGGAACCCUCUUCCUGGGUUUCUGGCCCUCAACAUCGUCACCAGGGUCAUCGCCUCUGAUCUUAUAACGCAAUGCAGUGCAUACCGGGCAUUCAUUCAAAUUCUCGUAUUCACCGCGGUAGAGGAUGCAGUCGUUGAUGCAUGCAUGUAUCUUCAGAACCUCUAAACCUAGAGGGCAGACAACCUUCUUUGCUUCGUACGUACUUGCGGGCAACUCGUUAUCCUUUGGAAACAUAUUCUUCAACAUUUUCAGCAAGUUUUCAAAUGCCGAGUCAGCUACACCUGCCUCUGCCUUCCAUUUCAGCAAAUCCAGUGUGCAGCCCAGCUUUUUCAGACCAUCAUCGCAUCCGGGGUACAGCGCCUUUCUGUGAUCCUCUAACAUGCGAUCCAAAUUCUCCCUCUCCUUUUCAGUUUCGCAGCGUCUCCGUGCAUCAGCAAUGGUCCGACCAAGAUCAUCAACGGGAUCAUCACGUGCCUCUUCUUCACCUUCCCCUUCACCUUCAGCAUCCUCCAUGAAAGUAUCACCGAAAUGAGCAAGAUAGCUUUCAUCGAUGAAAUCAUCCCCUUCUUCAUCUUCUUCCAUUAUAACCCCUCUUUCUCCAUGCUUGGUCCAACAAUUAUAGCUUGGCAUGAAACCGUGCCGAAGCAGAUGCAUGUGAACAUCUCUUGAGGAAGAGUAACCCUUCUGAUUCUUACAGAUAACACAUGGACAGAUAACAAAACCCCCCUGCUUGUUCGCAUUAGCCACUACGAGGAAAUAUUUCAAACCCGUAGUGAACUCGCCGGAGAGUCGGUUACCGUACAUCCAUUGCCGAUUCAUCUGCAUUAUUAUAAUAUAAAAUAUAUAAUUAACCAUCAUGCAUUUGUUAAACUAACUAGCUACAAAUAAUAUAAAUUAAACAAUAAACUGCACACAUGCAUAUUUUAUCAAUGACACACAUGCAUGAAAGGUUCAAGUUGCUAACCGCGAUCGAGGAGGAAAAAAUAAAUGAGGAACCUCAAGUGUGGCUCCAACACUUCAUAUCAUGUUUGUUUCACCCUCUUAGGGCAUUUCAUCAAACACCUUGUGUGCAUAAGAGGAACCAAAAGCAAACCUACACCCCCUUGUGAAGCUUGUGAAGAGAAGUGGCACCAAAUGGCUAAGUGAGCGUGCUGAACUGGUAUAUAUAGGGGAGGAGCUUUAGUCGCGGUUGGCCUGGCCAACCGCGACUAAAGGCCUUUGCGCACCUUUAGUCGCGGUUGGCCUGGCCAACCGCGACUAAAGCCCCUCACGUGCACCAGCUGGCCACCGAGCGCCCUGGGCCCAGGCCUUUGGUCGCGGUUCGUCUGCCGAACCGCGACUAAAGACUUCAUUAGUCGCGGUUCCUACAGUUUCGCGACUAAUGGGGCUGGACGGAAGCCUCUUUUUCUACCAGUGUUUCCAAUUAUUUGUUUGCUUGUCCAAAUCACCACAAGAGUAUGUUGUAAAAAAAUAGCACGCAUCUAGUGCGUGAAAAUAUAUAUGCACAUGUACAUCCGUGCGUUCAAGCUGAAAAUGCACGGAGCACACAUGGUGCCUCUGUUCCAAAUUAUUUUGCACAGGAAGAUUGUCCCUGUUUAAAAAGAAAUAGGCAGCACUGGUUGAGGUUGUGUAUCAACCAGAGUAGUGGACCACAUGUACUGAUUGGAUAAUCUAUAUAGACCAUCGUAAUCCUCAUCAAUCACUGUCAAAGAUCAUAUCAUCAUCUAGGCAAUUUUGUUAAAUAUACAACAUUGUUUGCAGCAGUAUAUUAGGAGAAGCAGAACUUCGUCAUCCUUGAUGUAUCAUCAAUCACUGUCAAAGAUAUCGUCAUCUCAGCAAAAAAAUUAAAUAUACAACAUUGUUUCCUGCAGUAUAUUAGGAAAAGCAGAACUUCGUAAUCCUUGAUGUAUCAUCAAUCACUGUCAAAGAUCAUAUCAUCAUCUAGGCAAUUUUGUUAAAUAUAGAACAUUGUUUGCUGCAGUAUAUUAGCAGAAGCAGAACUUAUUGCAAGGAACAUGUUGAUAGCACCAUAUCAAAUUGUAUUCAGUUUGCUGCAUACCAUAGUGAUGUGGAUACUUAUGAAAUAUGUGUAGCUAGAAAUUAGAAACUCUGUGAACCUAAACUGUUGUGGCACAAGUGACUAUUAUAUGGAUGGUUCUGGUUUUAUUAAGAUAGGAAGAUGGAAUAUGUUUUCUUCCAAACAUACAUGAACACCAUGGCCAUGAUAGAAACAGAACAUUCAUGCUGUAGAAACGGCAAUAGAAAUCCCACCUCCAAUAGGAAAAUUAACUCUGAAAUUACUACUUGAAAUGAGCCAUGGGUGGCAGCUGUAGGAUUCCAACUUACAGGUAGCCUCAUGAUAUUUACCUGUGGUUGGGAAAAGGCCUACUGGUACCAAAAAUAUUAUUCAACAUGCAAAGAAAACAGCUAGGUACACUAAACUAUGAAUGGAGAUAACACAUUAAAUUGUUCAUACCCCCAAAAACCAUUAACUCGCAGGUCAUGGUGGGUCUUUCCUACUUCACCUGAACCCUGUCACGAGUUAUCCUCUCAACCUGCUAGAAAUACCACAACCUCUUUCAAGUUUCAUCAAUCCUACACAAUCCACCAUAAAGAUGUUCAUUAUAAGAAAUACAGCCUAUAUUUAUAAUAGAGAAUACU